Molecule: ribosomal RNA, 2120 nt
Filed under: Ctenophora dorsalis
Lineage: Eukaryota; Metazoa; Arthropoda; Insecta; Diptera; Tipulidae
Description: eukaryotic LSU rRNA
Rfam family: Eukaryotic large subunit ribosomal RNA
Source: RNAcentral
UAAUUAGGAGAGGAAAAGAAUUAACUAAGAUUCCCUUAGUAGCGGCGAGCGAAAUGGGAAAAGUCCAGCAUUAAGUCCUUCUAUUGAUGAUCGGUAGAAUGGAUAUUCAAUGUAAAGGAGUAUCUAUCCACUUAUGCAUUUUGAUUAUAUGUUCAAGUCCAUCUUGAAUGGGGCCAUUUACCCACAGAGGGUGCCAGGCCCGUAGUGACUAUAGUUUUGUGUAAGAAGAUAUCUCUAGAGAGUCGUGUUGCUUGAUAGUGCAGCACUAAGUUGGUGGUAAACUCCAUCUAAGACUAAAUAUAACCACGAGACCGAUAGCGAACAAGUACCGUGAGGGAAAGUUGAAAAGAACUCUGAAUAGAGAGUUAAACAGUACGUGAAACCACUAAGAGGUUAAACCCAAUGAACCCGAACUUGUAAAAGAAGAGAUUCAUUGAUACAAUAAUUGAUUUUAUCAAUAAAUUGUAUCAUGCACUUUUCUUCUAUUAUCGCAUUGCGAUGUGUUAUCAAUAUACUACAUUUGUAGAUAUUUGUCAAUGAUUUUAUAUGCAGCUCCUUUCGCAGUCACUUGUGAAUGUUUCUUAAGGAACUAUAAAAAUAUCUGCCAAUAUGAUGACACAUGUAUCUGAUCGUACAAGCAUAUUUGCGCAAAAUUGUAACGGUUUAUUUCAAUAAAUGCAGUUUCAGUAAACGAUCUUAUCGGCAAUGAAAUGAUUUGGGAUACCUUUGGGACCCGUCUUGAAACACGGACCAAGGAGUCUAGUAUAUGUGCGAGUCAUUGGGCUUUUAAGCCUAAAGGCAUAAUUAACGUAACUAAUAUAUGGGAUUACAUGUGAUUGUAUAUAAUUGCAUCUUCAUCCAUGGGCGUUUUAAUCAACUCAUAUUACUUAUGUUUUAUGAGUAAAAGCGUACUGUAAGCAUAUAUACUGUGACCCGAAAGAUGGUGAACUAUACCUGAUCAGGUCGAAGUCAGGGGAAACCCUGAUGGAGGAUCGUAGCAGUUCUGACGUGCAAAUCGAUUGUCAGAAUUGGGUAUAGGGGCGAAAGACCAAUCGAACCAUCUAGUAGCUGGUUCCCUCCGAAGUUUCCCUCAGGAUAGCUGGUGCAUAUUAAUAUUUGGGUAAAUAGUCUUAUCUGGUAAAGCGAAUGAUUAGAGGAAUUGGGGCCGAAACGACCUCAACCUAUUCUCAAACUUUAAAUGGGUAAGAUCCUCGACUUUCUUGAAUGAAGUCAUCAGAGGUUCUUUAAUGAUAUAUUGUGCCUAGUGGGCCACUUUUGGUAAGCAGAACUGGCGCUGUGGGAUGAACCAAACGUUAUGUUACGGCGCCAAAAUUAAUGACUCAUUCAGAUACCAUGAAAGGUGUUGCUUGCUUAAGACAGCAGGACGGUGGACAUGGAAGUUGUAACCCGCUAAGGAGUGUGUAACAACUCACCUGCCGAAGCAACUAGCCCUUAAAAUGGAUGGCGCUCAAGUCAUAUGCCUGUACAUAACCGAUAUGGCAAAUUUAAUUAUACUAUUAAAAUCAAGUCAUAUCGAGUAGGAGGGUACAAUGAUAUGCAUUGAAGUGUUUGGUGUAAGCCUGCAUGGAGCUGUCAUUGGCACAGAUCUUGGUGGUAGUAGCAAAUAAUCGAAUGAGAUCUUGGAGGACUGAUGUGGAGAAGGGUUUCGUGUGAACAGUGAUUGAUCACGAGUUAGUCGGUCCUAAGCUCUAUGCGAAAGCUGUCGUAAACUAGAAUAUUUUUUAUUAUUUUAACAUAAAAAAUAAUUCAUUGAGAGCGAAAGGGAAUACGGUUCCAAUUCCGUAACCUGUUGAGUGUACGCUUUUAAGAUUGGAUAUUAACAUGUUAUGAUGAAUAUUCAUCCUGGUAACAGGAAUUGCCGUAGAGACGCCGUCGGGAUAUACCGAAAGAGUUUUCUUUUCUGUUUCAUAGACAUACUACCAUGGAAGUCUUUCGCAGAGAGAUAUGGUAAAAAGUCUAGAAGAGCAUGACAUUUACUGUUGUGUCGGUAUUCUCCCUUCGGACCUUGAAAAUCUAUGGAAGGGUUACGCAAAUUCUCAACAGCCCGUACCGAUAUCCGCAGCUGGUCUCCAAGAUGAAGGUCUCUAGUCGAUAGAUUA